RNAcentral lists this long non-coding RNA (30137 nucleotides) under Mytilus galloprovincialis (Mediterranean mussel). The record is from RNAcentral. Lineage: Eukaryota; Metazoa; Mollusca; Bivalvia; Mytilida; Mytilidae.
CGUUUAAAAUAUCAGUUUUAAGUUUUUCUCUUCAUCCUAUCACGUGACUUGAGUCACUUGAUGUUCUAACUUUUACAUCAUAUUUUAUAAGGUGUUGUUAGAUGGAUUGUUUUGUCCCUUAGGGAAUUAAGAAAUUAUUCGGAUAAAAACUAGAAAAUCUUUGAAAGGAGGUGAAGAUCAAGGUAAAUUUAUUUUGUUUCUUACUUUUAUUUUUUAUUUUUAACUUUUAUAUUUCAUUCACAAUGUGGUUUUUAUUUGUUUUAUGGUAUUAUAUAAUAAUCUUUUACACUGCAUAUAUCAGUCAUUUAUCUUAUAUAAUGAAUUGAAUUGAAUUGAAUUGAAUUGAAUUAAAAGACAAAUACCUUCUCUAUCUCACCGAAUAAUUAAAAGACGGAUCUCAGUAAAUAAUAAUAUUGAGAAUGGAAAUGGGGAAUAUGCCAAAGAGACAACAACCUAACCAAAGAGCAGACAACAGCCGAGAAAAUCCCGCACCCACAGGUGGUCCUCAGCUAACUCCUAAAUAAAAUUGUGUACUAGUUCAGUUAAAUGGAUGUCUUACUUAAAAAUUGAAUUGAAUAUAUAGUAAGUAAAGUAAGUAAUUACGCAUUCGUAAAUAAUACACUGCAGUUCAGGCUUAUUUGCCUCUUCAAAUCGUGAAUAUUUGGAGUUGGCAUAAUAUACCUAAGGCUUAAUGUUUCUUUCUAUUUGAAUAUUUCAAGCCUAUACUUGCGGUCUUUGAUAGCAGCGGCGGAUGGAUCCAGUGGUGUACAUUUUUGCGGUAUACAAACCGUUUUAUGGAAUUACCCUCCGCUUGAAAUAUCAUGGAAUCCCACCGGGAUCAUGGUACUUUCUGUCUACAUAUAAUGGUUGAAAACUGUUUACAGCUCUUGCAGAAGUGUGUCGUUGAGUUGCUGUCCUAUCAUAAUCUCUUUUCAUGUAUAUUCUGACUUGUAAUUUGUAAGGCCUUUUUCCUUAAUGCUGAGCAGUCGCUCCCUAAAAAGUUAAAUUCAAAGCAUAAAUUGUACUGUCUGUUAUAUGGGGGUCUCGGUUGGGUUUAUCGAACAGACAAUAAUGGGCCAAAAAAUGAAAAAAACUAAAUUUAAAGAGUAGAGAAUAAAAUAGUAUAAAAAGUUAAAGAAUACCAAAAAAUUAAAUUACGUAAAUAGUGAUACAUUCAGGUUCUUUUUUCCUACCUAUUUAAUGUAUGGCUCAAUCUAUGCAAGGAUUUUUAUAAUCUUAGACAAUAUAAAUCCUUGCUUUAGUAUAUAAGGAUUUGUUUUUGAUUUUUUUUUGGUUAGAUAUUAAAAAGAGAAGUCAUCGAUUCCUGAAUUCAUGCUCAGAUUUAACUUUCACAGUUAACAUGCAUAUUUCAUUCCUGAAAGGAAAAACUGCUACCUCUGCGACCUGCCUUGUCACCAUUGAUCACACAUUAACUGUAAAUAUAUAUUUUUUAUAGAAAAUAACAUAAAAAAUAUGGAUUAGUUUUUAAGGAUAAUUAAUAAUGAAUAAAGGAUGUGAACAGAAUAUAUGUCAGUGAUGGCAGAUUAACGUAAAGACCAAAUACGGAAGCAAAAUAAGAAAAAAAAAAAAGCUUACGAAAAAGAUUGUCUUGAUAGGGAAGCUUAAUAUGUCCGCCAUAAGAUGUCAUUGUCCUUCGGGAAAAUUAGGUUUUUUGGCAGAUCUUUGAUAGUCUAUCAAAUUUAUUCACAACUUUGCUAGGCUCGGGGUAAUGUAGAUCUUGACUAAUUGCUUGUAUGGACAAAUUCUAUUGUGGAUGACGAUAUACUGACGUCUAGAAUUAAAUUUUGUGCCGUUGGGUUGCUGUUCUCAUUGAUGUAAACCACACACAAGUACCUCUUUUAUUCAUAUUUAUUCAGAUUUUAAGUUAAUGCAAAUAAAUCAAGGCGUUAUUUUUUCGUUUGAUUUCUUUUCACAUUUUGUCAUGUUGUUAACUUUUACAGCUGGUUUUACUAUAUGGGUUUUAGUGAUUGUUGAAGGUCAUAAGGUGGCCUACAAUUGCUUAAAACCGACUGCUCGUCCUUUUUUAUUGUAUGGAAAUCUACGAUGUGAAUGACACAUAAGCGUCAUGGAGUUAUUGAUUGAUGAUUGCUUAACGUUCAGUGGCAAACAUUUCAUACAUAUUAAUAAACAAUAUGGGUGAAAUAUUUGUCAAUGGAUAUUAAGAAAUCAGCAAUCAAUCGAAGAUGUAUGAAAUAUUUGCCACUGGACGCAAAGCAAUCAGAAGUCGAUCAAUACAAUUCAUGAAAGCUUUGUGUCAACAUUUAGACGGUUUACAUACGUUCCUUAAAAAGAGAUGAUAUACCAAGGCCGAAGGGACGGAAUAUAUAUGUUCAUUCGGCAAUCCUCGGUAGAAUCCGCUACGGAAUCGGCCGAGUUGAGACGAAUGUAUAUAUGUUGUGCACAUAUUGUAAUGUUGUACAAAUUAUAAUGUGUGUACAGAUUUUUUGUACAAGUUAUCAGUGUUUUAUGAACCGCUUAACACAAAUGGAUCAUGCAAGCACACAGUCUUUUGUUUGGCAAUUUCUAUCAUACUUCCUUGACAACGUGAUACAGAUUGAUAUAAAAACAUUAUAAGAACACAAAAAGACUUUUUAUGGAUAUGAUUUUGGUAUAGGAGAAAAAUAAAACCAUUCAGGUGUCAUCAUUUCCGGUUUGUGGACAAAGAGAAUAGCACUAAAUGUUAGGUUGAAGUAGAUACAUUUAAAUUUAAGACAUUAAACUAAUACAUUUUAGAAGAUAAACUUUUAUCACCUGGUGCAAGAAGAUAUAUAUGUGUCACAAAACUUAUAUAUAUAUGUACAAAAACCCUGUACAUAUUAUAAUUUGUCACGUAAAAACUUACAUCUUGUACACAUCAUAUACACAAUAACACUUGAUACAACAAACUAAAUAUUGGGCUAUAUAAAACCCGUAAAAUACCGGGCAGAAAACCAGGGAGCCAAUUUUCUCUCUCAAAAAAAAGGGGGGAUAUACCAAGGGACAGAAUACAUACACAAAAACACUUUAUACAGAGAACUACAUAUUAUGCUACAUAAACCUGGUAAAUUACCGGACAGUGAAUCAGGGAGUCAACCAGCAAGUACCCCGGAAGGGUUAGUCUGGAAAUAAACAACGAAACGAGACAAUUGCUUUUAGAUCCAACACAUGUAAAUCGGACAUGUUAAACUGCAUGUCUCAAACGAAAUAAACUUCUGCUACUUAAAGAAAAACCACAUAUAUUGAAUUUCAAAAAAGAAUUGUGCUGAAUUAAGGAAGGGUGGUUGAAAACGGAUAUAGAAUCUUAAUAGUAUAGUUAAUAAUGAAGAGAAAUGUAGUAGAAAUGUACAAGUACUUAGAACAUUUUAAGAUUUGUAAGUAGAGGACAAUUAGAGGUUGAAGAGUUAUUUAGUUUUACUAACGAAACAAUUCACUAUCACCCCAAAUUACUGAGAUAGUAGGUCAUCUCAAGGACAGUUCGGACAACAUGGUACAAUAAUCUGGGUCACUGGCGCAUGGGGAAUGGACCUCCCCCCCCCUUUUUUUUUUUGGGGGGGGGUGUUAUAACUUUUGAGCAAAUACUCUGCAAUAGUGAUUUUCACUUUUCACUUAUUUACUGAUCUAUCGGUCCAUACUGUUCCCAGGUCCAUUUGAUACUUCUCGAAAAAUAGUGUUGGUCCAUAUGCGCUUGGGGCCGAAGUACUAUUAUAUUUUUUUGGUGCUUUUGGUUUAUAUUCUGUAAUAGUUAGGUUACUUUCUCUUGUGUAAUAUUUUUACUCUUUCUAUACGAUAUUACAAUUCUAGUAACUGUAGUUUAUUAUUUUCGACCCUCUAUUAUUAUGUUUCGUGUGGACUGUUUUACUCAAUAGACCUAAGUUAAGAUAAUCUGUGAUUACCUUAUAAAAUAAGGAGAGUAUUUCCUAUACUAUCUAAUAAAAUUGAGAAUGGAAAUGGGGAAUGUGUCAAAGAGACAAGAACCCGACCAUAGAAAAAAUCACAACAGCAGAAGGUCACCAAUAGGUCUUCAAUGUAGCGAGAAAUUCCCGCACCCGGAGGCGUCCUUCAGCUGGCCCCUAAACAAAUAUAUACUAGUUCAGUGAUAAGUCAUAAGAUAUCUUAGUUUGCUUUAUCUACUAAAUCCCGCUUGCUUAGCAGAGAAGCAACAAAUACAAAAUUUCACGUCUUUGAUUUGAUCCGGCCUGUAUCAAACCCAUGAUCUCUAGCACCCGAUCAUGCUCAUUUAAGGUGGCACGGUAGUAUUUCCUGGUCCAUAAGGGAUAAUGAUAGCCUUUUUAGAAUUUUCACCACUUUCUAACACUGCAAAAAAUUCUUCAUUCACAGUUAACUGAAGUACUUUCAUUUUACUAUUCAGAAGAGAAUUUAAAUAUGUAUCAUGACCGUUUACUUUUUUUGCUAUUUUCAAAAACCUAAGGCCACUAGUACUUUUAGGUCUUUUAUAGUGCAGUGAAUACAAAAUUAAAAAAAUUAUCAAAAAUUCAUUUUCAUCUGUAUGUAAAAUUAUUUCAUAUUUUCUACACCUGAUUCCUCCCUCAGUUUGGGAAAGUAUGUUCAGUUGAUACUGUAUUUUUUGUCCAAUCACACUGUUUAGAUACAUUUACCUAAGUAGGGUACACAAAAGAGCAACCUAAAUUUUGGAAUGCAAAUACUACCGUGCCACCUUCAAAGAGGAUAGAAAUGUCAAUACACCAUUAAUUGACAUUAUUUAAAGACCAAAGGUUUAUAGACAAUCGCAUAUAAGAAGAUGUUACAUAAAAUGUUAUAAAAAAAGACGGCAUCGUAACCGAGGAAAAGUUUGUAAACACUUUCACUAAAAUUGAUAAUAAUUUCUUCGUUAACAUAAAACUAUCAUAGAUAUUAUUUAUUAACACCAUCAUGUCAAAACAUUGAAUUGUUGCUGUCGGAACCAACACACAGGGUUCAGGCAAUUAUCCAUUGUUUAUUGCGCAUGCACAGUUGCAAUUGCUUUCCUACGUGAAAUUUGGCAGUGGAUGGUAUAUUGAAAUGUCUAUCCUCUUUGAAAUGAACAUGCUUGUUCGCGAGAGGUCGUACGAGGGUUAAAUCCAGGCCAGAUCAAACCAAAGACGUGAAGCAUUUGACGCUUCUCCGCUAAGCUGCGGGAUUAAGUAGUUAUUGUUUUAUAAACAAUAACAACCAAUGAGAUUACAUUGGAAAUACUCUCUACUCUUUUUCUAAGGGAAUCAAAGAUUUUAUUUACUUUGGUCUAAUGGAUAUAAUUUAAACAUUAAAAAAAUAAAUCAAUUGUAAAAGAAAACUUAUUCAUCGAGUUACGAAAAACACUUUAAACACGCUAAUAUAGUACGAAUAAAUGAAUGAAUAUCAAUGGUUCUUUUAGACGUGCUGUAUCAUAGUUCAUCUUUUAAUUUGCAAUUUUGUGUAAAUGCUUAUAUUUAUUGUCUUUAUCAAUGGUUCUUUUAGACGUGCUGUAUCACAGUUCAUCUUUUAAUUUGCAAUUUUGUGUAAAUGCUUAUAUUUAUUGUCUUUAUCAAUGGUUCUUUUAGACGUGCUGUAUCAUAGUUCAUUUUUUAAUUUGCAAUUUUGGGUAAAUGUUUAUAUUUAUUGCCUUUAAGCUUAUUGAAAUGCACAUGUUGUAUUUUACAUUUGCUUCACAUAUUGAACUUAUGACAUGCAUUAGUUUUUCUCUCUGUAACUUAGAGACAAUAUUGUUAUUCCUUUUUAAUUGAAAGCUUCGCUGCAAGGCAUGCAUCAAGAAUGUGUCUAUGGAAUGGAAAGUAAUAAAAUACUGCUUAGAACUUGCAUAGACGUAUUGCUAUGUGUUUCUUUAUUCUAGAUUGGCUAAAGGUAUAGGGUGAGGAUUAAGAUCUCACAUAACAUGUUUAACUCCGCCGCAUGUUUCUGCCUGUCCCAAGUCAGGAGCCUCUGGCUUUUGUUGUGUUUUAUAAUUUAAGUUCACCUAUAUUGGUUUGGAGUAUUUUGUGAAGUCCAUUCUCACUGAACUACAUCCUUUAUUUAGGGGCAAACUGAGAAACAACUCAAAAGGUCUUUCUUUAAAACGUGCAAUUCAGUAAGAUCAAAUUGAAGAUGAAGUUCAUUUCUUUUUAUAUUGUAAUACUGGUGAAAUAUAUAAUAGAAAAAGUUUAUUUUGAUUUUUUGAUAAAUAAGAAUAUCCACUUUAUAAAUUUAAAUGACAUAGAUAAAAUAACAUAUAUACUCAACCCAAUUUCACACAUUCAGGUAAAUAAGCUAGGAUCCUUUUUAAAACAGUCUAUUGGACUGAGGACAGGGGACUCUUAAAAUAUUUACUUUUAUUGUGUAUAUUAAUGAUCUUGUUGUUAUUUUUUAUUUUCAUUUUGUUAUGUUGUGUCACAUACUAUAAAUAUGUAGUUUUAUGGCAAUAAAGAUUUGAAUUGAAUUAAUUUGAAUUGAAUUAAUUUGAAUUGAAUAGUAAGAUCUAGAAGAACAUAUGUUAAUGAAAUGCACUGUAAUCCAAAAUGGCAAAUCACUGUGUGCAAUUUGAAAAAUCGCUGAUCUGUUAUCAAAAUAUGAAAUUUCAGCGAUGUUUUUAUGCGCAUUGUAUUUAUGUUAGACUUAUUUUAGGAAAUAUCUAAAGACCGUGAAUGUAACACUAGAAAUCAAUAAUAGAAAGUAAGUACCAGAAUACACUCAUUAGUCCUUAUUUACUCAGUUCUAUCCUUAAUUGGAUGUAUGUACUAAUCCUAAUUAUUCAAAAUAUUCAUAAGUAAAGUAGAGUAAAUGUAGGCAUCUCAUGCUAAAUUAUUGGUUUUAAUUUCAAAAACCCAGACAUAUAUGAACUAACUGGCCAUUCCUCCCAUCAUUUACAAUGACCACCCAUUUUUUCCUCAGCCAUAAAAAUAAAUAACUUUAAAAAUUAGCAAUAGCCUUUCAUAACACUUGAUUCAAGCGUCGGAUAUAUGUUGAUUUAGUGUUAUGAGACUGUUUGAAAUCUCUUUGUUGUUCGAUAUCUCUUUUCCACAUCGAAAACCAACGGUAAACCCUCAUGGUUAUAACUAUACGUGUUAACUUAUAAAUCAUAUAUCACCCGAGGUCACGCUGUUCACUGAUAUUUGCUGGUCAUUCUUCUCCCGUAAAUUUCAUAACAAACAGCAUAAAGGUCAAAGACUUCAUAUUUCACAUUACAUUAACCUUUUUAGACGAGAAGAUCAGCUGUCCACCGAGCGUCGUACAUAGAUGAAAGGAAAUUUGAUCUUAGUCGAGUCUUGCAACACAUGGGUUGAAAUUGGUCGUUUAUUUUCGGCUACCAUUUAAUUGUUAUUGUGGGACGGGGAGGAGGGUGCUAGGAUGAAAUUUGAAAAAAAAGGCAGGACAGGAGUUUUGUGUAAAAAAGGCAGGAUGAGUAACUUGGCAAAAUAAGUUACACUAUGCAUUUCUCAAAUGAUUUUUCAUCAAAUUUUUUUUUUUUUUUUUUUUUUUUUACAAAUAUUGAAAUUGAGCUGUUUAAAAGUAAUAAUUAAAUAGUUUAAUCUUCUAUAUUGCGUAUUGGAUACUGUUGUCUUUCUUUGGUCGGAUUUAGUGUUUUGGCAUUGUCGGUUUGUUAUCCACUUAUGACUUUUGAUAUUAUUUUUGUAUCUUUCACCUCUCCUUUUUAUACCUUUCCAUAGUUUUCUUAUUUUAAUCGAUACCUCGGACAUCAACAUUAUUUUUCGGUAAUGAAAAUAACAAACUAUUGAUGAAGAUGAAGAUGUGAUAUUAGAAUAAAUUACCUAAGCUGUAUUUGGCUGAUCAUUCUUCUCUUCUAAAAUCAUAACAAACAGAAAAAAGGUCAAAGACUUUCAUCCCAUUAACCUUUUUACACGAGAAAAUCCGCUAUCGAGCGUCGUCUUCGUAUAGAUAAAAGGACAUUGGAUCUUAGUCGAGUCUUUCAACAAAUGGUUAAAGGAUCUACCAUUUGAUUUUAAUGGGGAGGGGAGGGGGAGUGCUAGGUUGAAAUAUGAAAAAGAGGAAGGACAGGAUUAUUAGUUUUAAAAAAAGGCAGGAUAAACAGCAUGAAAAAACAAAAAAGUAACAAAAAACAGGAUGAAAAUUUAUGUAAAAUAAAGUCAGGACCGAAGAGUGAAAAAUAAAUAGGUAAGAAAUUACAAAAACAAAAAAUGCAAGAAAAUUUUUUCCUCCUAGCACCCCCCCCCCCCCCCCCCCCCUCACAUAAAAUCAAAUGUUAACUUCCUUACUGUUCAAUCUUCUAUAUAUAGCGUUUUGGAUACUGUUGUCUGUCUUUGGUCGGUUUUUUGUUUUGCUUUUUUGCAUUGUCAGUUUGUCAUCGACUUAAAAUUAAAAUUUAGAAUGGAAAUGGGGAAUAUGUCAAAGAAACAACAACCUGGCCAAGGAGCAGACAACAGCCGAAGGCCGCCGAUGGGUCUUCAAUACAGCGAGAAAAUCCCGCAUCCGGAGGUGGUCCUCCGCUUGCCCUUAACACAAUUGUGUACUUGUUCAGUGAAAAUGAACGUCAUACUAAACUCCGAAACAUAAUGAACUCAAAUUAAAAAGAUGCAAGACGAUCAGAGGCUCCUGGCUUGAGACUGUUGAUUGUUUAUUUGACGUCAAGUGGCAAAUAGUUCAUGCAUCAAAAACUCAGAUCAUAAACGUUUAUAACCCCAACCAUUCAAUUUAUUUGUUUGCAUUAUUGUUACAUAUUAUCUAUCUUCAGUGAGUUUGUUACAAAAAAUGUUAGAACAGACCAUUGUUUUCAUUUGAUUAAUUUAUUAUUAUCAUAUUUGACAUUAAUCACUGAGUUUUCAGAGGCCUAUAGGACACAUAAGGUUACAUUCAAGUGUUUGAGGCUUUCACACCACUUGAUCUGAAGUGUUUAUAAUAAUAAGUAGUUACGUUUAAAGUGACCAUAGGUUAAAGUUUAACUUUAAGACAAUUCAUUAGAUUUAGUUAUUUACGAUACAUAAGAAUCAUAUUCAAAACAGUGUAGCUGUGGCCAUUGAUUGACAACCUUGAAUUAUCCCAUUGACUGGGGCAGAUUAGGUGAAUGUGUGUCUGUAACGACAACUGCUCACUACUUACUUAUUAUAGAAUUUAAACUGUGGGGUUAACGCCUUUAAUAUUAAAAUAGUUCGAAAAAUUAAUCAGGAAUAACUUUAUGUUUUGAUUUAUAUUAUUGAUAUAAAUCAAAACAUCGUGUUAUUCCUGAUUAGUUUUUCUAAUUUCUUUAUUUAGGUGUUGAGAACCUUUUGUGACCCCACAGUUUAACUGCCUUUAACAAGUACAUAGUGAGCAGCGGUUGUUACAGACAAACGUUCACAUAAUCUGCCCCAGUCAAUGGGAUAACUUAAGGUUGUCAAUCAAUGGCCACAGCUACACUGUUUUGAAUAUGAUUCUAUAAGAAGAUGUGGUAUAAGUGCCAAUGGAAAAACUCCCAAUCCAUGUCACAAUUGGUAAAAGUAAACCAUAAUAGGUCAAUCAAAGUACGGCCUUCAACACGGAUCUUUGGCCCAAACCGAACAGCAAGCUAUAAUUAUAAAAAGCCCAAAACAUGAAACGUGUUUAACAGCAUCCAAACAUGAAAACCAACGGUCUAAAUUAAUCACUAUAAUUAGAAACGAGAAACGAGGAGUAACACGUAUGAACCACAUCAACAAAUGACAACCAAUGAACAACAGGUUCGUGACUUAGGAUAGGGGCAAACAAAUGUAACAGCUUUAAAAGUUGUACACUUUUAGAUCAAAUUUGUUUUAGAGAUUAUAGAGCCUUGUUAUCAAACCCAACCGUCACUAAUUUACGAUUCACUUUGUUUUAGAGAUUAUGGAGCCUUGUUAUCAAAACCAACCGUCACUAAUUUACGAUUCACUUUGUUUUAGAGAUUAUAGAGCCUUGUUAUGGAAGUACACCACUAAUUCAUGGCCCCAUUGCUUUCUAUGUUAAAUUCCUCAACUUCGAGUGGUCAAAUAAAGUGACAAUCAUUGCAUGUCAAAGCAACACCUUCUGGUGUCAUGUACUGAAAAAAUCAACAUACCUUUAAUGGCAUAUAAGAAAGAACUGGUUCCCGGAACUUCGGAUGUACCAAAACAGGUACUUCCGAUCUGACAAAAAGGCAAAAUGUACUCUCCUUUUUAAAUUUCAUGCCAUUUUUUUAUUAUUCAAAUUUAUCAGUCAAAAAUUGUUCUACAAUGAUCACCAGUCAUGCAGCUUUCAUUUGAUACCAAAAUUAAUAAAAUAUUCAACAUAUUUUGAAAGAUAUGUCCACGCGUAGGAACUAUUUUGUGUUAAAUAUAUACUACUUUCUGGUAUGUGCUUUCUGGCCGGGCCCGAAUUAGUGGUGUUACACCUAUAACAAAACCAACCGCCACUUAUUUACGAUUCACUUUGUUUUAGAGAUUAUAGCAUCUUUGUCAAACUAACCUCUCACUCAUAUGUAGUCAAUUUCUUUAUGACACAGUUAAACAUUUUAGAUCAUACCAGCUAAUAUAGCGUUAUAGCAACUAAUUAUUGUUCUGAAAAUAAAAAUGAAAUGGUUCCAACUAAAAGUCCAGCAACCAUUCUAUUUCAACAGUUAGCCAAUAUCGUACCUAAUGAAUAUUAUUCCAGAAAGCGCUGCGUACACAUUUUGUCAAUGAUGUUUUUACAAUCCAUUGAGGCAUCUAUCAUAUUCAUUUUAACAGAUUUUCUGUGCAUGAAUGUUCCCAAUUAUAUAUAUAUCAUAUUGAUGCAGUCUAAACAUUUUUUACUCGAACUAAGUUAAUUGAUAAAAAGAAGAGAAAAUAUCUUUGCUCCAGUUAGUUUUCUGUUUUAUCAUGCAUUGACAUAUAUAUUACUAGUCUUUGAUGUUUAUUGAUUACAAAUGUAGAGAAAGGGCACAUAAAACUGUGUUAACCGCACCACAUUUUAAUCCUGUUCCAAACCCGGCUAUUUAGCAAGUGGUAUGAGGCGGAUAUAAGGGGGAGGUCAGCGGACCUUUAUGGAGCUACAUUUCUCCAUUGUCUUGUGAGGCCUUCCCCUUAUCAAAAUCCGGAAUCUGUACCUGAUUGGUUGUCUUAACUUGAAUAUCUUUUUAUUCUAGAAGAGGCGAAUAAUGGUGCUUAGUAAGGUAUUUUGUAAGGUCAAAAAUGUUUAUUUUUAUUUUGUUAUUCCGGUUAUCCCUUUUGUUAUGUACUAUUGCAUAAAUAAUAAAAUUGAGAAUUGAAAUGAGGCCCCUCAUGGGGGGGGGGUCCUAGUAAUCACAUAAUCACCAUUUUUUUGCCAAUAUAAUCACAUAAUCAUUAAAUAUUUGCUUAUCUUUAGUAAUCAAAUAAUCAUAAACUAAAAAUACAGUCCUAGGUAAUCAAAUAAUCAUGAAAUAUUUGGCUUAAUAAUCAAAUAAUCAUUAAAAAAACGGCCAAGUAAUCACAUAAUCAAAAACCCCAUGAGGGCCCUCUGAAAUGGGGGAAUAUGUGAAAGAGACAACAACACGACCAAAGAUCAGACAACAGCCGAAGGUCACCACUCUUAUCAUAAUUGCGAAUCAAAAACUUUUUUCGAUGUUUCACAACAAUCAAAUACAACUCGUUCAAAUAUACCGUUGAAAAAUAACUAAUAAAAGAUUAUAAAAACCUAUAUGUAUUUUGGACUUUCUUACCUGGUUCCCCCCCAAAAAAACCAACAAGUUUCUUCUGUUGGUUAUGGUUUUACAAUAUAGUCUAUUUACGGUACGCUGUAAAACAAGUCAUUGAUCAUACUUUUUUAAUUGUGUUACAUUUGGGCCUUUAAUUCAAAGCUGACAGUACGGUAUGCGUUUUGCUCAUGAUAAAGGUCGUACGGUAACUUCAUCUGCAUGAAUCCGAGUACUCUAGUAGAUGGUUGUUUCAUUGGCAACUAUGUCACACAUCUAAUUUCAUAUUUGUAGUAAUACUUAAAAAUGCAUGUAUCCCAUUUUUUAAGAGAAAAUUGAAUCACUUUUUACAUAAACAUCAAUCAAUGAAUGGGGGUAUUUUUGAGGAAAUGGUUAAAAUGAUUACCCUAAUUCGCAUUGGGUGCGAUUGAUGUGAAAUCUAUAGAAAUACAUCAUCUGACAACAACUCCUCAACAGUAAUAUACUUCUGGUCACCGUCGUUAUCACUAAUCGUGUAAAGCCAUAUUUGGGUGAUCGGGUGAAAUAUAUACUAUAAUAAUCAAUCUGUUUUCCUUGGACACCCACCAGUUUAUUCGUACGCAACAAAUAGGUCAGACAUAUUGGCUUUUCACAAUCACUGUUUUGCUAGCAGACACAAUGUAUCCUAUAAUGACGCCAUAUACACGACAGCAAAUCGCUCAAAAAUCUGCCAAUCUAGUUCAUGUAAUUUUAUCAAUGAAACAAGAGAUAUAAAAGAGUCAAUUAGCCAGUUCUUUUUUUCCCUACCUUAUAAUGUUCGUAAUACAGAGAAUUUUUAUAAAAUAUCUAAAUGGCACAUUCUUCUGAUAUUUGAGAAACUUGACAACCCAUGCGUUCGCAUUCUUCAAAGACAUUAAAAUAUGUUUUAACACGUCAACGCAAGGCUAAAACAUUGUGUGUCUUAGCAGAAAAUUUUAUUUUUCAGUCUAAUUCAGCCGUUUAAGGCAAAAUAAAAACCACGAGUCAUUAUUGUAUAAAGAAGUCCACUUCAUAUGAGCAGAUUCAGCCAUUUUUAUAAGGGUUGAUUUAUAACAUGCACAUCUUCUAAAAGGGGUUUUGGUUUCCAACUAUUUGUCCCAUACAAAAGCAUUAAUUGUCAAACAAAAACGAGGGUCCCAUCUCCGUAGAACACCCACUGGAUCCGCUACUCUUUAAAUAUGGUUUGAUGUGUUUGAGCUUUUGAUUUUGCCAUUUGAUUACGGACUUUUCUUUUUGAAUUUUCCUCGGAGUUCAGUAUUUUUGUGAUUUUACUUUUAAAGUUGAUUAAUCUAACACAAAUAAAUGGAGAUGUGGGGUAUAGUGAAUGUGACAGCAAACCAACGACAUGCAAACAAAGACAUGUCGGUAGAGGUCAAUAUAAUUAUGGUCAUAAUUAUACAAAAGACAUAAAUUUGCGCCAUUACUUUUUAGAAUUGAAUUUCUGGGUUACAAUGUUUUUGAUUGGUCCUUUUUUAUAUACAUAAAUUCUCUUCACAUCAGAUUGCAUGGAUCUUAACCCUGUCUCAUUCCAUAGUCUUUCCUUCUAAGUUUUACAACAAAAUUUCAAGAAAAUAUAAAUGACGUAUUUUUGCUCAACCAUAAAUUUUUGCACGACUCCUCAUUACAUACAAAUGUAAUUGUCUUUUGCACGACGUGACGUUCGUACAAUUCACGACAAAUUCUUUAUGAAAAUAUAAACGACAUAAUUUUUCUCAACCAUAAACUUUCGCACGACUCCUCAUAGCGUCUUUAGCCCGUCAUGACGUUUCAAAGUAGUUACUUCUUCAGACGCAACCAGAAAUCUGGUACAGUAUUCUUGCUAAUUAUUUUGCAGAAAGUUAUUUCAAAAUGGCUUAUAUAUAUCUUUUAUGAUUCGUCUGAAAGUUAGGAAUGUCGUCUUCAAGUCGUAUAUUUUCAUAGGUCACACCAAUUAGACAUAUAAUCAGUCUACCAUGAAGUGUCAGCGAUGACGUAAGAAAUUUAUCAUUUUCAGAAUAAGAGUACAUCAUCAUGGAUUCGUUCACGAUUUUGUUUCUUAUUUGUCGCGAAAUAAAAUGAAAAUUUAAAAAUACUGUAACAUUUUAAAUAUUUUAAUCGACGAACAAAUUAAGCCGAAUUACAGCAAGGUUGACCAGGGGCGGACCUAAGGUCCAAAGGGAAGGGAUUGUGAAAUUGUCAAAUAGUAAAAAAAAAUGACGAUUUUUGCAAAAAAAACGAAAGAUGUUUUACGAUAAAAAGGGGGGAGGGGACGAACACGAAGGGCCCCUUGGAAUCACCACUGUUCUUUGUCAUACAAUUGCACGAGGUGGGAAAGGAUCCUUAUUUUCAAUAGAAAAAGACAAAUUUUUCACUUCCAUUUUGAAACAAAUGUCUUUUAACAAGAAAGUUUUAAAAAAAAACUUGUAUCAUAUUCUACACAUUCAAGACAAUUGAUACUUAUUAGAUCCGGAUGCUGUACAUUAGUCAGUUAUAGUGGCGGAUUCAGGGAUAAAACGUCCCGUAUCAAAAAUCUGAACUAGCCCCUGAGUCUAUGAAAAAUUUCGAUAAUCAUACGUUUAUAGAAUAAAUUAUAUGGAGCACACUGUAUAUGUAUUAACUCAUGUAAACUGGCCUAUAUAAUGAUCCAGAUAUCAACUUUAACUAGACUUAGUUUAAUUUCACAAUAUAAUGUGUACAAUCGUUCUAUUUUACCCUUUUUAAUAACUACCAUUUACAUUAGACUAUUAUUAUGGAAUGCCUUGCAUUUUUAUAUAGAUGUAUAUUUUUGUAUAAAACCUGUUAAAGUCAUAAAGUCCGUAAAAUGCUACUGGUUUUGUUCAAAUCGUGAUUUGCAAAAUUUUUUAUACAGAAUUUUGCACAUGGACAUACUUAAAUUAUAAACUAGCCACUUGAUGUAUUCCAUUAAUGAUACAAGAAGCCCCUUUGAUACGGCUUGAUCAUGUAUACUUUAUAACUGGUAAAAUGAUUUAUUUUAAGAUGAAAGAAAUUACAACUUUUUACUUACAGUUCAGACUAUGUUUAUUUGAAAAAGCAUUGAAAAAAAAAAAGAAAAGAUAAUAUGUUACUUAUAAAAAAAAAUCUAUCUUACAGACGUCAGGAUUUUGAAAAAGGGGAGGUUACACCGUCCCGUUGUCAUUCCCUGUUUUAUUUAUAUUAUAUACAUAUAAUAUAUAAAGUGCCUAGAAAAUCAACCUAAUAUAUAUAGAUUGCCUAACAAUGUAAUUUUAACACACUAUUUAGUAUGUAAAUAUAAGAAUGUUUAAAAUAUUUACAAAAUGAUGAAAAUAAACGCAAUAUUUCGCUAGACCAACUAGCUUUAUCAAGCGUGCAUCUAUCUAGAUGAAAUAGGAUGUAGAUGAUAAGAAACUUUUGCAACUCAAUGUCUAUGUUGCACUUGAAUUUAGCUGCCUUGAAAAUGAGAAAAUUUUGCAGCUCAAUGUAUAUGUUGCACUUGGAUUUAGCUGCCUUGAAAAUACUUGGUAGUUGAAGUUAGCAACGUCCAUUGGCCAAUGUUACGGGAUAAAAAGAACGAUGCUUUGUUUUAAAUUAUUCUUUAUCUUUCCUGUAUCUUUUCUCGUCUUUUUCGUUAAGACCAUCAGGUUCUAAAGUGUGGAGUUGGUGGAUCCAAAAGUUUUCUCUUCUCCUUCUCGCUGUGGUGUCCCAUUCUAUAAUUUGGAAAGUGACAUUAUCAAAAGAAUGUUUUGUGUCACAUGUCAAAUAUGUAUAUAUUCAAAACAGUUUUGACGAUUUUAGUCUAAAAUGGUAAACAUAAAAGAAUUUGGACGCUUUAAAAUUGAGAAUGGAAAUGGGGAAUGUGCCAAAGAGACAACAACCCGACCAUAGAGCAGACAACAGCAGAAGGUCACCAACAGGUCUUCAAUGCAACAAGAAAUUCCCGCACCCGGAGGCGUCCUUCAGCUGGCCCCUAAACAAAUAUAUACUAGUUCAGUGAUAAUGAACGCCAUACUAAACUCCAAAUUGUACACAAGAAACUAAAAGUUAAGAUAAUACAAGACUAACAAAGGCCAGAGGCUCCUGACUUGGGACAGACGCAAAAAUGCGGUGGGGUUAAACAUGUUUGUGGUCUAAUUUCAAAUAUUAUUAUAAAACAGCCAAAUGAACCGUUUCCCUCAUUAAAAGUUUCAUUGCCAGACGACAUGUUACCCUACAUGUAGUAUAUACCCUACUCAACCCUUGGUGUUACUUAUUACAGUAGUUCAAGGGAACCUUUCAACCUUGCUUAGUACGAAUUUUAAGUACUAUUUUCUUGUGGAUGCUGCAGUAAUUGUAUGUGUAAUUAAUGAUUUUGUGGUUAUAACGUACCAAAUGUACUGCAUUAAUCUUCACACAAACGAGGUUAACAAUCUCCCUUUUUUCUUUGUGGUAAAUUAGUUUAGCUUGUAGCACAUGGUUAAUUAUUUUUUACUUGUAAAAAAUGUAAUAUAGAGAAGAAAGCGCACUGAUAUAAAACAUAGCUACAGUUUAAUCAUGUCCCUUUAACUCGAAUAAUACAGCGCCCGCUAAAUGCGUUCAGUGUCCCCGAGUCCUUGUAGUGACCACAGUGAUUGGAAUAUAAAAUAAUUUUGUCGAAAACGUCCAAGGUUGGAGUGGACACAGAAGGGACAAUGAAUCUGGAAAGACAAUUUAUUAUUUUGUUAUCCGUCCUAUUUCUCAUCUCGAAGAUACGAAUAUUAUCAUAUAAGUUUGAAUGAGGAUUGUCAUGAAUCCGUAUAGCUUUCUAUAUAACGGGAAAUGGUCCAUUGUUUAUCUAGUUCUUAAAACUCUAUGAAAUAUUUGCCACUGCACGUUAAUUAACAAAAAAUCAAUUGAUUUUUCAUCUUGCUCUCCUUUUUAAUCUUGCAUUCUCUGGAAAUAUUCUUUAGAUAAAUAGCCAAUUUGGUUGUGUUUAUUAUUAAAAAUAGAACACCACACAAUCUAACCCUCUUUUGAUCUGAUUACCCUUCCGGAGCACCUGAUACCACCCCUAGUGUUUGGUGGGGUUCGUGUUGCUUUUUCUUUAGUUUUCUUUGUUGUGUCAUGUGUACUAUUGUUUGUCUGUUUGUCUCUUUCAUUUUAUGCCAUGGCGUUGUCAGUUUAUUUUCGAUUUAUGAGUUUGACUGUCCCUCUGGUAUCUUUCGUCCCUCUUUUAUACCAAUGUGUUCUCAGCAUUUUUCCGAUUUUCUUUGGUUGUCACUUGCUUUAACUUGUGAACGUUUGUGUUUGUUGUACAAAAUGUGUCAUCAGCUGAAUUACCUGAUAAGUCAUUACCUUCAUAAUAAUGUAAACCCAUCAAAUUGCCUCGCAACACUUUAAACUAAAAUGCGUUCUUUAUAUUGAUCUUUUUGUACUUUGAAUAAAAGACGACCUUUAACACCUAUGUCGCAUAGCUCCUGGACUUAUUCACGACUUAUCAUCUUUUAUGUACACUUAUGCAAGGUAUUUGCACAACCAUUUAAAUCAAGUAUAAAAAGUCACAUUAUCUGAUACUAUAAUAUGCACGUAGUUAUAUUUUUGCAACCUUGGUAUUACAGUGAAACCGAAUCCUGCAUACACCGAAAACCUUUAUAAACCAAACAUGUUCUUAAGCACUAUCAUAUCAAUUUAUAUGUGUUGUUAACCUGAUAAAAAUGAACAUCGGCCCAACACGAACACAAUGUUAAGUCCCGAAGAGGUUCAGUUUAAAUAUGUUUCACUGUAUAUUCUUUUUUGGAUCCCACAAAAAGCUUUAAAAGGGUUUUUUUUUUUCUUUUUUUUUAAACUCAAAGGAGAAAGAGGUAAGCUUGAGUUCGAUCCGUGGCAUGUACAUGUAUAUUAAAAUAAAGAUUUUCAAAAGUAGCAUUUGCCUCUUAUCCCCUAAGCAUACGGCAUUUUAAAACUAAAACACAGGUAGACUCACAGUGAGGGAAAAUGUGUCCGAUCGAAAUGUCGGGUCUUUUUUCAAUUUUUGCAUCUGUAUUGCUAUGACCAACACUGUUUUUUCAUGUGUUUUACAAUAAAGAAAGAUAUUCAUAAUAGUUUUCAUAUUCAUAUCAUUUUGACAUGUUUUCAUCCUAAUAUGCAUGUAAUAUCAGCCACUGGACGUAACACGUUGUCGUCAUUUGCCUGUAUACAAUGUGUGACAAACAUAUGUGAUAUGAGGUAUUACACACGAAAAACAUGUAAACUAAUGUAUAGUGAAAUGCAAUUUCAAUUAGAUAUUUUAUUACAGUGAUUUUAAAUCAAGCAAACAUGUCCCAGGAAUAGAUUGCCUUAGUCGUAUUUUGCACAACUUAUUGGAAUUUUGGAUCCUCAAUGCUCUUCAACUUUGUACUUGUUUGGCUUUAUAACCAUUUUGAUAUGAGCGUCACUGAUGAGUCUUAUGUAGACGAAACGCCCGUCUGGCGUACUAAAAUAUAUAAUCCUGGUACCUUUGAUAAUUAUAUUAUCACAAUAUAUAAGAAUACAUAAAUGCACAUACUUUUUGUAAUAAUUCAUACCUUUUCAAACAAAUACUCUUGAAGUUUUCUAAAGGGAAUGCCAUUUAAGUAUUUAAGCUUUUUUUCAUAGACUGGCUUCUUCCUCUUGAAGUUUGGUCGUCUACAAAACAACCAAGAACAAAAAAUAACACGAUUAAUUAAAGUCCACAUGCAAGUACGUCAUGAAAGCGUGCUUAAAAAUCUAUUUCUGAUUACCAGAAGGUAAACGGUACAAGCCAAAACAGCUGCCUAUUCGAUAUUAAAGAGAUAUAAUUAUUUCUUUAAUUCUAGAUCAAAUUUUUCUGAUACACAUAUUUUUUUCUGCGAUCUUUGAAGGAACCCCACAUCAAAGUAGCUAGCACUUUUAUCACCUAUUAAACUGUCUUUGUAAUUGAUCUAUACAUAAUGUUUUUCAUUUUUUCUCGGUUAUAUACUUGACUUUGUUUUUGUGCUGAUGAAGGCGAAAAUAUCUGUGCUUUUGGGAAAUUCUCAUAUUUUUUAAACAAAACUUAUUUUAGUUUUAUUCUGAAUCUUGUAAUACUGAAACAGUCUAUUGUAGUUCGUAAGUUGCGAAUGUAUGGUGGAAUACGGCACAUCUUUCUGAUUUCGUAUUUCUAAUGCAUCUACGCCAAACAAAAUUCGGUCAUUUUUCGUGUAUGUGUUUAAUCAUACGGUUGUUUUCAUAGUUUCAUUUUUUAACAUCUCGAUAUAGUUCUGUCUAUUUUUUUUAUUUUUUAUUUUACAUUUAAAUGAAACUCGUAAAGGAGACGGACGGUUAUAUGUAAUUUACUUGAUUCCGAAUCCCUACAUUUUCAGUUGUAAAUAUAUUUGAUAAUUCUUGCACUUUAAAAAUUGAAAAUGUUGUUUAAACUUAUCUCGUACGCUCAAUUGAAUUUGAAACCCUUUAAUUUUCGAAUUAUUAAUGAGCUCGAAUAGUGAAUAUAUAAGUACAAAUUAUGGUUGGUUUAUGAAGGACAAAACAGUAUUACAUUACCCCCCACCUUUAAUUAUUUGGACCUCAAAUCCAAUAAUAUAUGUACACUGUAUAAUUUCGUAUGAAUACAUUGAAAUAAAGAAAAAACAAAAACAAUGCAGUUUUUAUUUUACAUAAAUACUAAAUUUCUCGCUAUAGAUUAAUCGUCAAAAUUGGUGAACAGUUGUGUCAAAAAAAAAAAAAAAAAAAGAAAGUUAAAUACAUUUUUUUCUUUACAAAUAGCAAUGUCAUAUUAGAACUUAAAUAUUGGUCUUGUCAUUUUACUUCAAUCUUAAAUAUCUUAUAAUAUGCUAAUAUGCCUUGGCCUUUGACGUAGACGAUUUUUUAUUUGUUUUGUAUUACAUCUAAUUACAAUUCUAGAACUAAAGAAUAUAAACUUUUCUCAAAUUAAGUGUGCAUUUAACAUAUAGAUGUAAGAUAAAUUUCAUACUGAUUUUCUAAAAGCUAUCCACUAAAUUUAUUUGAAAAACACUGUAUGCCAUUCCACGCUUUUGAUAUGACUUGAAUAUGUUGGCACCCCAAUUGAAGAAUGGUCGGAACCGCCACUUCAAUUUGCUGUCUGUUUGCAGAUUCUUUGCAUAUGUCGGAAAAUUCGGUUGUUGGUGGUUUGUGCUGUCUGACCUACAUUUUUGAUAUCGAUUUAUUUCAUGUAUGACAUACAAAAUUUAUUUUGAAAAUGAGACGUCUUUCGUUACACAAAGAAAAUAUUCGACCUCAAUUAGAUGACGAAAUCCUUGACUGACGUAUCAUUACGUUGGCAAAAUCCUAUAUAAUUGUUACAGUUUCCAUGAGAGCGCUCAGACGAAAAGAUAAAUAUGAUAUAAUAGAUUUACCCAAAAAAUUGAUAAGAAAGAACGCAAUUUACAGGAUAGUUAAUAUGCCGACUCAGCAAAAUUUCCGUCAAAUGAAUGAAACGUUGAACCCCUUGGUGCAUAAUUAAAACAAGAUUUACGAAUGAUUGUCUUCAUUUGCAAAUUGAUAACUUUAGCAGAUUUUUAACGCUGUCAUGGGGUGAUCUUUAAUCACAAGAAAUUCCUUAAUGGUUUGGUGAUCACAAAUUGGCAGCCAUUGACAUAAAAAAUACUAUAAUUGAAAUGCAACGUGUUUAACGAUAUUUCAACCAAUUAUAUAAGAGUAAAAGAAAAUGUAUAGUAUGCAUGUACGUCAAUGAGACAAUACAACAGACAAAAAAUUGACCUCGAUAUUUGUUUUCUCAAGGUCAAAUUAACGAGUUAUGACUGGCACGUGUCCAGGUUUUCUAUGAGAAAUCGAACUCGAUCGAACUUGUGUAAAAUAAUAAUUGAUAUAACAAUAAGGAGAUGUGACAUGAUUGCCAAUAAGACAACUAUAUACUAAAGUUUAAAUAAAGUGAUUGGAAGCACUUAUAGGCAACCAUACAGCCUUCAACGAUGAUAAAUGAUAUAGAAGAACCUAAAGUCGGCCAUAAAAGGCAUCGACUAGAUAAUAUAUGAAACAGUUCAAUGGAGUAAGCUUACGACCUAAUAUUUAACAAUGCAAUUUUCGAGAAACAAAUAUGACAACAAAAACCAAAGACGACACCUAAACUACAGGCUCUUGAUUUUGGAAAGACAAAUACAGAAUGUGGUGGUGUUAAACAUGUUUUUAAACGCUGAACCCUCUCUUCACUUGAGACAGUAGAUAAACUCAUCAUAGAUACCAGGAUUAAAUUUUGUAUAUACGCCAGACGCGCGUUUCGUCUACAAAAGACUCAUCAGUGACACUCGAAUCCAAAAAAAAUUUAAAAGGGCCAAAUAAAGUACGAAGUUGAAGAGCAUUGAGUACCAAAAUUCCUAAUAGUUUUGUCAAAUACAGCUAAGGGAAUCUAUGCCUGAGGUAGAAAAGCCUUAGUAUUUCAAAAAUUCUAAAUUUUGUAAACAGUUAAUUUAUAAAUAUAACCGUAUCAAUGAUAAUUCAUGUCAGCACAAAAGUGCUGACUACUGGGCUGGUGAUACCCUCGGGGAAAUAAAUCUCCACCAGCAGUGGCAUCGACCCAGUGGUUGUAAAUAAACUCAUCAUAGAUACCAGGACUAAAUUUUGCUUAUACGCCAGACGCAUAUAGAAGUACAACACAGCAUAAGAACACUUGGAAGUCCUAUCUGAAAUUAAAUUAGAUUCAACCACUCGUUGAAUGUCAAUCAAGCGAUAUACUUUUAGAGGUAUAUUGUACCUUCAUAGCAUAUAGUUUUUAUAUCAGUAAAUAUACAUACAUUUUUGUAAAUUCGAAUCGCACACCAAAUUUAAGGGUAAACAACAGAAAAAAGUAUGCGUCAUUUAGACAGCAACGUAACAAAGCGAAAAACAAAUAUAUAUCUUGUUCAACGAUAGACAAAUGUAAAAUGCACUAAAUCUUCUAAAUCGUAUUUAGUCUAUUUAGUCUAUAAAAUUGCGAAUAAAAACUGACCAUCAAAUUCCAAGUCAAUGAAAAAGCAUUAAGGUGGUACCUAACACUAGGGAUAGUAAGGAAAUAAUUAUAUACAGUUAAAACAAAAGAUUAUCGGCAUUAAGUUAGAGAGAUUACUUUUCCAUAAAAAAAUCACUUUAGAUUGUUCAAUUCGGACAAAAAAUAAAAAAUACACAGUUAUUUUUAGAUGAUAAAAGUAAAGGUAUUUUGGGAUCAUAUGGGCAAUUUUACAGAUAUCCAAUUUUAGGACAUUUUACUAGUAUGCCAUUCUUCAAUCAUAGGUCAAAUAUAGGAAAUUUUUACUGUUUUUGCAACUAGUUAGAUAGAUAACCGAUAUUCUGAAGUUUCUUGGAUGAAACAUUUAUGGUGAAUUAAAUCUGAAGUCUCAAAAGUUGAACUUUUCUGUUUUUUUUGCCAAAAAUGUGCACUUUUAGACAUGCGAAAUUGCCAUUUUUUGGCAUACAACCCUUUAGUACAUGAUUUCUUUUGCAUCAAAGUAUAUAAAACCGGCAUCAUUUCAAGUAUUGCUUUUAUUUGAAGUGAAAAAUUUAGUCUCGAUUCCAAAAUAUUAUUGAAAAUUUUUUUUUUUGUGAUUUAUCACUAAAAAUUGUAUAAAAAUUGCCAUUUUUACAGAAAAAUUAAUAUUUUUUUUUUCAAAUUUUUUUUUUAGUAAUUAAUGUUUCAUAUGAUAUUAUUUCCAAUAUGUUGUGAAUACUAAAUGAAUAUAGAAUUGAAAAAAUGAUUAAAAUCAUGUUUUUGUGUUACCAUGGCAACCAAUUUAAUGCAAAAUUUUAAAAUAAUAAUUGAAAAUGCAUAUUUUCCCGGAACAAACCAUAUUUGUUUAUUAAUGUUCUACAAGUAUUAAGAUACAUAUGACACGUUGACUCGGCUGUAUUGGGUGACUCAAAUUCAGAAAGAAAGAACAAAGCAGGUUACAAGGGUAUCAAUAGUAGCAGGGAUCACGAUGGAAGUUGAUAUAAUUGUCUUUCAAUAAGCCAAUAAAAACUUAUUAAAGAAAACAGAAAUACCAGUGAAAAAAACUAUAGAGAUAAGGACAAUGCACCUUUUUUCUGUUCUGCCAUUACAUGAGUAUAGUUACACAUGUUUUAGAUUUGACAAACAGUGAUGUUGGCAUACAAAUUGAAAAUGUUAAGGUGGUACCUAACACUACAGGGAGAUAACUCUGUAAAAUCAGCUAAACUUUUUAAUUACGUUGCGUUGUUAAGAGAAUAUUAAGCUUCUCAAUGAUCAAAACUAGUGUUUGUCAAACUGCUAUAUAACCAGUGUAUUUUUCUGAUAAAAUGGUUGGUUCAAAUUUUUUGAAAUUUUUAUAUUUUUGUCAAAGGGUCAAAGUAAAUACUUUGUAAAAAUUUUAUGAAAAUUAAACGAGCCAAAUUGAUUUUAGUGAAAGUGUUAGGUACCACCUUAAGCUGUCUGUGAGACACACAUGAUGCCCCGUCGUCUAACAAACUAAAAAUGUCAAAGUCCAAACACCAGGCCAUGCACACCUCAACUAUGUGUUUGAACAUCCUGCAAAAUGUUUAAGCUGUAUGUCAAACACUGUAGGAUGAGAUAGCCGGAAAAUCAACGAUCUCUUUAUACAUCUUGUACAAAAAAAGCUACCUGUCUUAUUUAGAAUAUUUGAAAGAAAACAAAAUCCUGUGAUCUUGCACACCUUCAUGAUGUGUAUGAUCAUCCUACAAAAUAUUAAAGUUGUACUUCCAAAACUGUAGGAAGAGGAAAUCUAUGUAUCUAAAUAUGGACAGACGGACGGACGGACAGACAGGGGUAAAUUGAUAUGCACAGAGACAUUUUGUCACAGGGACAUACAUUUUUCACAGGGGCAUGAAAAUGCAACAAUUUAUUAUUGAGUUUGUUACAAUAGAUAAAGAUGUUAUGGCUUUAUAUAAGCAGUCGAUACUAGUAUCUAUGAAUGUUGAUAACACCUAUAAUAUAAAUCUGACAUGCUCCUUAAGUUUCUUGUUAAUCUUUCUCAUUGGAAAACUACCACAUCUCCUUAUUUUAUAGGUUACAGAAAAUAAAAGUAUUAUAUAUGUAAAAUAUGUAAUAUCUUAGACGAUGAAUUCCAUUUUUUCUUUAACUGUAAACAUGUAAAAAAAUAAAUAAAAAUAAAAGAGAAAUCUUUCUAAAAUAUUAUAUACAAAAAUAUGUAAAUUUUAAUACACUUAAUUUUACUGAUAAACUGGUGAUUAUACUAAAUCCAUCAACACCAAAUGAUGUAAAAGCAGUUGUUUCUUUUUAUAAAGAGUCGUUAGAACUGAGGAAAGGAGAACAUUAACUGUUUUUAUCAUAUCUCUUAUAAUAUUGUCGAGUUUUCAUUAUGUUUGAUCAUGUUUGUUUUGUCAAUGUAUUUGCCAUAACCAAAAUUGGUUUUGUCUGUUUUGCAAAUAAAGAUUCAUUCAUAUAAGUUUGGCAGAGAGACGCAUUUAAGCAUUUAAAAUAUAUUCUUCUUCAAAACCACUUUCAACUCUCAACAGUUUUCUUUUGAUCAAAAACAUAUUUUCUUGCUUCUCUAUAAGAAAUUGUAUACUUCUUUCAUUGGAUACUAAGUUCAUUGUUAGCAUUACAAGCUAAUAGCAUAUUGUUUUCAUGAUUUAGAGUUUAAACAAUCUGUAGAUCCAAUUUCAAUUUUUUAAUACUGAUCAUUAAUUUUGCCUAAUUUUAGUUGAGAUCUAUAUAUGAUUGUGAAACUAAAUUUCACUAUCUUCAUAAAAUUGUCCUUAACUGUGUCACCUCGUAUGAUUUCAUUCAAAGAUAAUGAGAAGUUUUCAUAGUAAGUUGAAAUUUGAAAACCCAGAAAGUGUUGCAUCCAAAUGUAGUGUGUUUGAUGUUUGACUGUGUAACAAUAUUUAUUAAAUUUGCAUUUUGAGAGUAAGUUAUAAUUCAAAAUAAUUCUUCGAAAUCAGAAAUAAUUUUAAUUCAUCAGAAAUGCUUUAGUACUGAGUGAAUAGUUUGACCGAUAUUCUUAACUCUUACACAAAAGAAUGCAAGUCUUGAACAAUUUGACGGACAGCUGGAAGAUACUUCACAUCCGAAAAUUUAUCAAUUGAAAUUUUUCACCAAGAAGAAAAAAUACCUGUUCUGUCAAACAAGCAAUGUUCCUUUUUCUUGCGGAAACUUUUUAGUGGGUAUAUCAGUUGAUAUUGUUUCGAGUCGUUUUGUUUAUAUGUCGCGCAUGAUUUCAUGAGUUUAAAUUUCCAAAUCCUGAUACCAUAAAUCUUAUUAAAAUUAGUUCUCCGCACUUGCUACUCGUUCUUUAAAAUUUAUAUGUGGUUUGUGAUAUAUAAACCAAAAGAGUAAGUGCAGAAAAAUAUUUUUUAUCAGAUUGUGAGUCUAUAUUUUGUAUUUCCAAUUAUAGGCUAAUUCUAAAUCUUCAAGUUUGAAGUGAGGUCAAAUGUGCUUGUAAAAUUCCAUUAUAGUAUAGUGCCUGGACAUAACGUGAACAUGGACAAGAAAGUCCCACUUAGGACAUAAUGUUUUUUUCAGUCUGUGAAUCUGUUAGUCUGUCGGUCCGUCUCUCUGUUCGUCUGUCCUACUUUAGGUUAAAGUUUUUUUUUGUCUUCAAGUUGAAAGUUUCUCGUCCUUGUAGUUUUCGAUGAAGUUGAAGUUCAAUCAACUUGAAACUUAGUACACAUGUUUCCUCUGAUAUGAUCUCUCUUAUUUUUAUGUCAAAUUAGAGAUUUAACCCUAAUUUCACGGUCUGCUAAGCAUAGAAAAUGAUUGUGCGGAAGGGGCAUCCAUGUACUAUGUACACAUUUUUGUUUGUAGUAUGUCAUAGAGUAUUUGUACAUGUAUGCACAAUAUACCAAUAGACCUAAGAAAAAAAUUACAAUGUUCUAGUUACUUCGAUCGUCAAUGAUCAAAUAUAGUAGAUGUCUAACUCUUUUGGUCUUGGAUUGCUGCCAUUUAUUAUUAACACUGAUUUUUUUUUGAUUUUUUUUAUUUCUGUAUGACUACAAGCAAUAAUGCCUCUGAUUAUUUACUAUAAAUAGCGUGAACAGGUUUUUCAUUUUUACUUAGUUAAUAAUUGUGUAAUACGGUUUUCAUUAUUUACAAAGUAGAUUUUACUGUAUUCUAUCGCAGAAUAUUUUAUUUCGCCGUUAAGAAGGUGCGUGCAGAAGUUUCAUUUUUUUCCCUAGAUUUAACAUAGAAUGAAACUGGUUCCACUUUUUUUUACCAUGCAUGUGAAUAGCCUUCAGAUUUGUAGCUAAAAAUAAAUCAAAGUGUGGGGAUCGAGUUGCUAGCAUAAAAAUCGCUAUAUAACAACUCAUCUAGGUUUUCAGAUUUCUAGGAUGCCUGAAUAUUUGAAUAUUGACAAGGACAUACUGAUAGGACACGUUAUUUUUUUUAUUAUUUCUAUAAUUUUGUUUUGCUGGAUAGUUGUAAUGAGGGGGGGGGGUAAGGACCUUUAUCGGGACUCCGGGAUCGGGUGUUUUUUAGCUCGGGAUUUCGGGAUCCGGGAAUUCUUUUUUCGAAUUUCGGGAUGUCAGGAUUUAAAUUUAUUUAAAUUCCGGACCUCGGGAUAUCGUGUUUUUAAGCCAGGGAUUUCGGGAUAAGGAUCCCUCUUACCCCCUCAUGUAAUGUGUUGCUCUUUGGAUAUUAUUUUUAUUCAUAUGGAAAUUGACAUGUCUUAGAUUCGAUUUAGUUCAUAUAGUAUAUAUUCUUUUUCAUCAUUGAAAUUAGAGAACUUUCUCAUCAUGAAUAUUGAUUUUAAAAAUGUUAUUGUGUGUUGUUUUGCCCAGUAUUCUUUAUAUUUCAACACCAUAUUAUUACCAAAACCCAUCUUUAUUCUUUAUUCUGUAAAACCGAUCUGAACGAUGUAACGUAAGAAUAUGUUCAUAGUUUAUUGUAAAUUGUAUCAUUGUUUUGCCGUAUAUUCUUCUCUUGUCGACAACUAUUAUGUUACCGUGUAAGUUAUAUCUGUUUGUUAUUUUCCAUGCUAUUAUUUCAGAUGAUUUAAUUUUAGAGCAUCUGUUGAUUUUUAGAAAAUCGAACUAAUCUAUUUUUAUCGCACUUUACGUUCUAGAAAUUAACCCCAGGUGUGUACGUGCUACUUUUUAAAAAAUAUUAUUUCAAACAUUUUUUCAACUCAGUAUUCUACGCGAAUAUUGUGCAAAGAUUAAUCAGUUAUUGUUUGUGCGGAAUAUGCAUAUAAUUUAUAUUAAUUACCAGGAAGCGUGCUGCAAAGAAGCAAAGUGUCAAUGACACUGAUACUCCAGCCGGCGACGUUCUCAACGUUUUCGAAAAUCCCUUUUGAUGUCUUCUUUGCAAUCUUUGGGAUGUUUUCGGGGUAGGUGGUAGACGAAAGAGAGAUUGAGACAUGAUAGUGCUAUUAGGUAAAUGUUUUGAAUUUUACGAUGAUGCCGGUUUCAAUUUAAGAGCUUCAAGAAAAAAUUAGUAAAAUUUUGUUCGAAAAGUUUGAUUUUGAAUAAAAUACACUUUUAAUACGAUCUACUUCUGGAAACCUAUAUAACAUGAAAAUUUUGAAUCUCUACUUUCGUUUUCAUACUUUGUUGAAAUACCUAGUACCCUACCACCUAUCCCGGUUUUGCAUUCUUUCCAGACAUGAUAAAAAUACCGGCGACGUCGGCAGUCAAAAUAAACGUCAUUUGCGCUAUUUCUUCCGGCUCAUGUUUUAUUAGGAAGAAAUUUUAUUGCUUUACAACAAAUAAUAUGCAUCUGUUUAUACAGAAUUUAAAUCUGCUAUUCAUUAGCUUUCUUUAUAUUCUAAAUUUAACUAGUAAAAAUGAACAAAACAAUAAGAAAAUACUUGUUUUUUAUUAUUAUGAAAUGGAGAAAAAUGACUUGUCUAAGAAAAUUUUGAUACCUUGCUAUCCCUACUAACACUACAGGGAGAUAACUCUUUAAAAUCAGCUAAACGUUUUAAUUACGUUGUGUUGUUAAGGGAAUAUUAAACUUCUCAAUGAUCAAAAUAAGUGUUUGUCAAACUGCUAUAGAUAUAACCAGUGUAAUUUUUCUGAUAAAAUGGUUGGUUCAAAGUUUUUGAAAUUUUUAUAUUUUUGUCAAAGGGUCAAAGUAAAUACUUUGUCCAUAUUUUAUGAAAAUUAAACGAGCCAAAUUAAUUUUAGUGAAAGUGUUGGGUACCACCUUAAGACUUAUGUAAACUUUCUGUGAUAUUCUUUAUUUUGAUAAAAAUGCGUUAUUUCGGAAAAGGCCUUCAAUUUUCUGAUAGUCAUGAUCAAUGUAGCUGAUGUUUAUAGUCAUUAUUAUGUUCACGUGAAAAUUGACUAUUCAAAACCCGCAUUUUUCUAUUAAUAGCAAAUGCCAACGACAGCAGUCUGAUAUAAUGGAUUUUUCGAUUGAAAUUAGAUCAGUAAAAAUACUAUUUACUUAGACAUUAUGAACCUUUUAUAAAUGAUAUUGACAUUCGUAAUAAAUUACUCAAUUUGCAAAUACCACUUCUUCUCACGAACAAUUUCUUCUCGGUUUUCCACUCAUUUUUUUUCAUGAAACCACACAGUUACACAUAGACAAAUAAUGCUUGAUUUAUUAUAAUGUUUUGUUUCAGACACAUAUACAUGAUAUAGUCGCCCUUAACAACGAUGUUUUUCUAAUUUACAAAAGUUUAGGGUGAACAAACGUAAUAAUGCACGGAAAAAGCAUGUAAACAAUUAUAAAAAAAUACACAAUGAUGAAUGUGAGAAUAUUUUCAAGCUGUGUAAUUGCAAAGAGUUGAAUGGUUUGUGACAAGUAUUAGCUUUGAAAAUCUAAAAAUAAAGGAACAAAUGAUUUGAGGGCAAUACCCUUUCGUCUUCUUCAAAAAAGACAAAACAAUGCAGUAUUCAAAGCAGACAAACACACGAUCGAAAUCCCCCUAAAAAUAAGGAGCCUUAUUCGUUCAUUUAUAUGUUUUGGGUUUUAGUGUUCACCGAACUAGCACACAGUUUUAUUUAGGGGCCAGCUGAGGACCAACUCCGGGUGCAGGAGCUAAUAAAUGUAUUUAUAAUUAUUGAAUGCUUCUUUUUGUGUUUUCAUAGGGGUGUAAAAGCGUUGACCAUGCGCACAUUUUUAGAAUGAAUCGCUUCCGCGCUUCUUACAAAAUGUACUUCGGUCAACGCUUUUACACCCCAAUGAAGUUUAUACACAAAGAAGCAUUCAAUUCUUAAAUAAUAAGUAGUGAAACUUAUAUAUAAUAAGAGCUAUCAUAAUUAAAGCAAUUGCAAUUAAUAACUCCGGAAAUACAGAAAUGUAAGUACGUCACAUUUUAAAGUAUCAAAUUCUUAAAUAAUUCUAUGGACUGAAAUAAAACCAGUGCCCUCAUAUUUUCAACGUAUUUCAUUUCAAGUACAUUCAAAAGUAUAUUUCGUCAUACCACUCUUUGACAUUGAACUUGAUUUAUGUCUGAGUACAUGAAGCUUGCAUACUUAAUAUUUAUAUUUGGCUCUGACCAUUUGUUUAGGUGUGGGUUUUUUUUUGAGGGAGAAGGGGAUGGGGAAUGGAAUGUUCGAUUCUGAAUUACUUGAUAUUUUGUUUCAGAAAGGAGAUGGAAAAAUAAAUUCUAUCAAAAAUUAUUUAAAAAAGCAACAUUGUUUUCAAAAAGUCCCAUUAUUUUUGGUGUUUGUUUCAUGCCAAGCUAUCUCGAUCAUGCAUCUCUUCGUCGUUGUUUGUCUUUUUGUGAACAUCUAUAUGUAUUUUCUCGGAGGAUUUUUAUGUUUAACCCAAAUGGCCAAGGGUAAGCCAAUUUCAAUGUUACAGAAAUCGAUAUGCUUCUAGCCUAUAACGUAUAACAUUCGAAUAGAUAUUUCUCUCAAUUAAAAACUAUAGUUAUCAACAUCUAUAUUUCACGUAAUACAAUCAAUUACCAGAUGAUGCGAAAAUUUGGGAAUCCAAUAGAUGAUUAGAAAUACAAAAAAAAAAGAGAGAUAGAAGCCGUUUAAAAGCCGUCUUUCUGAUAUUUUCGGAUUCGAGAAUUCCGAAAAUCAGCAAAUCUAUUUGGCGUACUUUGAUCAAGGGAAAUAAACGAUAUCAAAUUGUACGAAAAGUGCAUUUGUUUUUGAACUAGAACCUUGAGAUGAGUGCCAUUUGCAACACAAAUAAAUAAUUUGAUUAAAAUACUUAAGCGUAAGUGAUAGCUUUCUAAAAUAUCACAUAGAAGUUAUGUAAGAGAAUGAGUUAUCUUAUGAUGGCACUUAGGAAGUCCUUCACUUAUAAUAAUUAUAUAAUUGAAGCAUCUCUAGAUAUUUAUUUACAUCUUUUUCUAGCAAUGUAAUUAGAUUUGUUACACAAAUAAAAACGUGGAAUAUUUGGGACAUUGCUAGCAAUUACCUUACACAGUUUUAGCAGGAAAAAUGGAGAGAACGCUGAGGAAACGAUUGUAUGAUAAUAUCUUAUCAACCAGGAAAGGGGGUGUCGUCCUCCACGUCUCCUGAAUCUAAUGCAUUUUUUUUAUUAGUCUUUUGUUUUUUUUCAUUGACCAUGCAUGGCGUUCACUGUCGUAUGAACCAAGUUCAUGUCUAUGUUUUUUGGUUUGGUUUAUGGUGCGAUCAUAAUCUUAAGAUCUAUAUUUUUUACAAUUGGUGCAUUGUUUUUUUUAGUCUCAAUUCUAUUUACAAAUGUACCAUAGUGUUGUUUAUCAACUUGUGACAUUUUUUACUCUUGUAGAAAUUGUUCCCUAGAUUGGCAGAAACCAGCAAAGUCUGG